This 294-nucleotide ribosomal RNA is filed under the name uncultured bacterium. RNAcentral's name for it is "partial 16S ribosomal RNA". It matches the Rfam family "Bacterial small subunit ribosomal RNA", at positions 773 to 1060 of the family's 1533-position model. The record is from RNAcentral.
GUGGUUUAGAUACCCGGGUAGUCCACGCUGUAAACGAUGAGCACUAGGUGUGGGGGGGUUCAGUCCCUUCCGUGCCGCAGCUAACGCAUUAAGUGCUCCGCCUGGGGAGUACGGCCGCAAGGUUGAAACUCAAAGGAAUUGACGGGGGCCCGCACAAGCGGUGGAGCAUGUGGUUCAAUUCGAUGCAGAGCGAAGAACCUUACCUGGGCUUGACAUGCAGGAAGUAGAAACCGGAAACGGCGACGACCUGUUAAGUCAGGAACCUGCACAGGUGGUGCACGGCCGUCGCCAACU